Molecule: long non-coding RNA, 663 nt
Filed under: Oryctolagus cuniculus (rabbit)
Lineage: Eukaryota; Metazoa; Chordata; Mammalia; Lagomorpha; Leporidae
Source: RNAcentral
GUUCUGUGCAGGCAGAUGAGUGUCACAGCUGUAGCUGAAGCACAGAGCAAUAAACAUAGUGGAGCCAAUUUCUACGAUGGCGAGAGGGAGCACCGGAGAUGACAACAAUGACAAGACCGCGACAAGUUCUAGCGCUGAGUAUCCUCAAGAAAAUGGGUUCCAUAAGAAGUGACAUCCUCCUCGAAGAGCAAGUGUCAAACUCUGACAAAAAAGAGAAGAAAACAAGGAGAGACUAUACAUGUCACUCACACCGGCUGAGAGGGAAGCUGACAGCAGAGCAAGAAUUGGAUGACGAAGGAGUAAAUGUACCCUCACUUGAAAAAGAACUCUUCUCUUUCCAGCUAUAUAUAACAUAUCCAUUGUAAACUGGGCAAGACUAUUAAUAGUAAUAAUUAUAAUAGCACCUUGCACUUGUCUAGUGCCAUCUAACAUACAAAGUCUUCCUCAUUCAUUUCAUCUCUUUGACAGUUUCAUCAAUUCGUGAGCAAGGAGCUUGUUACUGCCUCGUUAUAUCCCAUCCCUGCUGUUGCUUGCACUCUUUCCAAAUCUGGUGCAAGUCAGAGAUGUAGAAGGGCUCUCAACCUGUGCACCACCCACAUGUUUGGGCCACAUGCUUGCUGAUUUGUUAGAAUGUGGGGAUAUGGCCGGCGCCGCGGCUCACUA